This 23-nucleotide non-coding RNA is filed under the name Arabidopsis thaliana (thale cress). RNAcentral also lists the same sequence under 5 other names. The record is from RNAcentral. Lineage: Eukaryota; Viridiplantae; Streptophyta; Magnoliopsida; Brassicales; Brassicaceae.
GCCCAGUGCUCUGAAUGUCAAAG